RNAcentral lists this ribosomal RNA (468 nucleotides) under uncultured bacterium. RNAcentral's name for it is "partial 16S ribosomal RNA". It matches the Rfam family "Bacterial small subunit ribosomal RNA", at positions 28 to 507 of the family's 1533-position model. The record is from RNAcentral.
GACGAACGCUGGCGGCGUGCUUAACACAUGCAAGUCGAACGGAAAGGCCCUGCUUUUGUGGGGUGCUCGAGUGGCGAACGGGUGAGUAACACGUGAGUAACCUGCCCUUGACCUUGGGAUAACUUCAGGAAACUGGGGCUAAUACCGGAUAGGAGCUCCUGCUGCAUGGUGGGGGUUGGAAAGUUUCGGCGGUUGGGGAUGGACUCGCGGCUUAUCAGCUUGUUGGUGGGGUAGUGGCUUACCAAGGCUUUGACGGGUAGCCGGCCUGAGAGGGUGACCGGCCACAUUGGGACUGAGAUACGGCCCAGACUCCUACGAGAGGCAGCAGUGGGGAAUAUUGCACAAUGGGCGGAAGCCUGAUGCAGCAACGCCGCGUGCGGGAUGACGGCCUUCGGGUUGUAAACCGCUUUCGCCUGUGACGAAGCGUGAGUGACGGUAAUGGGUAAAGAAGCACCGGCUAACUACGUG